Molecule: transfer RNA, 73 nt
Filed under: archaeon
Lineage: Archaea
Description: tRNA-Val
Rfam family: tRNA
About the family: Transfer RNA (tRNA) molecules are approximately 80 nucleotides in length. Their secondary structure includes four short double-helical elements and three loops (D, anti-codon, and T loops).
Source: RNAcentral
GGGCUAGUGAUCUAGUGGCUAUGAUGUCUCCCUUACAAGGAGAAUAUCGGAGGUUCGAGUCCUCCCUGGCCCA